CCUACGGGAGGCAGCAGUGGGGAAUAUUGGGCAAUGGGCGCAAGCCUGACGCAGCAACGCCGCGUGAAGGAAGAAGGCUUUCGGGUUGUAAACUACUUUUCGCAGGGACGAAGCAAGUGACGGUACCUGAGGAAUAAGCCACGGCUAACUGCGUGCCAGCAGCCGCGGUAAUACGUAGGUGGCAAGCGUUAUCCGGAUUUACUGGGUGUAAAGGGCGUGUAGGCGGGGCGGUAAGUCAGAUGUGAAAACCACGGGCUCAACCUGUGGCCUGCAUCUGAAACUGUAGUUCUUGAGUACUGGAGAGGCAGAUAGAAUUCCUGGUGUAGCGGUGAAAUGCGUAGAGAUUAGGAGGAACACCAGUGGCGAAGGCGGUCUGCUGGACAGCAACUGACGCUGAGGCGCGAAAGCGUGGGGAGCAAACAGGAUUAGAUACCCGUGUAGUC
This 443-nucleotide ribosomal RNA is filed under the name uncultured bacterium. Its description in RNAcentral is "partial 16S ribosomal RNA". It matches the Rfam family "Bacterial small subunit ribosomal RNA", at positions 338 to 795 of the family's 1533-position model. The record is from RNAcentral.